Molecule: ribosomal RNA, 423 nt
Filed under: Klebsiella terrigena
Lineage: Bacteria; Pseudomonadati; Pseudomonadota; Gammaproteobacteria; Enterobacterales; Enterobacteriaceae
Description: bacterial SSU rRNA
Rfam family: Bacterial small subunit ribosomal RNA
Source: RNAcentral
GCUGGCGGCAGGCCUAACACAUGCAAGUCGAGCGGUAGCACAGAAGAGCUUGCUCUUUGGGUGACGAGCGGCGGACGGGUGAGUAAUGUCUGGGAAACUGCCUGAUGGAGGGGGAUAACUACUGGAAACGGUAGCUAAUACCGCAUAACGUCGCAAGACCAAAGUGGGGGACCUUCGGGCCUCAUGCCAUCAGAUGUGCCCAGAUGGGAUUAGCUAGUAGGUGAGGUAAUGGCUCACCUAGGCGACGAUCCCUAGCUGGUCUGAGAGGAUGACCAGCCACACUGGAACUGAGACACGGUCCAGACUCCUACGGGAGGCAGCAGUGGGGAAUAUUGCACAAUGGGCGCAAGCCUGAUGCAGCCAUGCCGCGUGUAUGAAGAAGGCCUUCGGGUUGUAAAGUACUUUCAGCGAGGAGGAAGGCGU